RNAcentral lists this ribosomal RNA (468 nucleotides) under uncultured bacterium. RNAcentral describes it as "partial 16S ribosomal RNA". It matches the Rfam family "Bacterial small subunit ribosomal RNA", at positions 28 to 507 of the family's 1533-position model. The record is from RNAcentral.
GACGAACGCUGGCGGCGUGCUUAACACAUGCAAGUCGAACGGAAAGGCCCUGCUUUUGUGGGGUGCUCGAGUGGCGAACGGGUGAGUAACACGUGAGUAACCUGCCCUUGACUUUGGGAUAACUUCAGGAAACUGGGGCUAAUACCGGAUAGGAGCUCCUGCUGCAUGGUGGGGGUUGGAAAGUUUCGGCGGUUGGGGAUGGACUCGCGGCUUAUCAGCUUGUUGGUGGGGUAGUGGCUUACCAAGGCUUUGACGGGUAGCCGGCCUGAGAGGGUGACCGGCCACAUUGGGACUGAGAUACGGCCCAGACUCCUACGGGAGGGAGCAGUGGGGAAUAUUGCACAAUGGGCGGAAGCCUGAUGCAGCAACGCCGCGUGCGGGAUGACGGCCUUCGGGUUGUAAACCGCUUUCGCCUGUGACGAAGCGUGAGUGAAGGUAAUGGGUAAAGAAGCACCGGCUAACUACGUG